GACAACAUAACAGAGGAGGGAAUGGGCUCUGGUGCAUGGGGAGGUAUCAGGGAGGAGUCUGGGGACUGACUAGGACUGGAAGGAUGAGAAUAGAUGAGAGGAGAGUGGGCAGAGCACUCACAGAGCUCAGACUGGGAUGAAAAGGGAGCACAGCCUGACUGGAGUGGGGCUCAUGGAAGGUGGAGCCAAGUAGGCAGGAUGGCUUGGACUAUGGGAGUCCUUCACAUCUGGCAGACAUGCUUCACACCAGUGAUUCUCAACGUUGCUUGUACAUGAGAAUCAAUGGGGGCACUUUUAAAGCCACACUCUGGGUGAAUUGUGUUAGAGUUUCUGAGAUGGCCUGGACAUCAGGAUUUUUAAAAGAAUGCCACUGAUGUCAAUAUACAACCAGGGGUUGAGAACCACAGUCAUGUGAGUGUAAGUUGUGGAGAAGAGCAUUGCUCAAAAUUCCUGUGGUAAUCACUGUACCUCAUGACUGUGCACAACAUUUUCCCAUCCCUUCAGUGGACUUGAAAGAAAUUUAAAAUAUUGCUCAAGUUUAAAGGUCUGUGCAUAAUCAUGUGAUGCUAACUGGACUGACUCUAGGUAACCCUUAUGGUUGGUUGUUCAUAAGCCACAGUGUGGCACUCAAGUCUGAAGGACCCUUAGGUUGCAGUUCCAAAUAGAAUCUCUGCCCAAAGGAACACGUCAUUAAGGGCUUGAAGGAGAAGUUCUGCAGGACUCUGAUGAGGGCAAGUUUCAUGUUCAUGAUCGUGAGCCUCAUGCCAAUGCAACUUUUGGAUCCAGUUCCAAAAGGUAAACACUUCAUGUCAUGACUGAAUCAAUCACAGAGAAGUACCAGGAAUCUCUAGUUUCUGUUUGACAAGCUACAGGAGCAGGGACUGCUGAGCUUGUGGGAACCACCAGAUCUUCCGGUCCAGAAAACAGGUGUGACCUGCUCACCCUAUUGGGGAAAGUCACAUCAAUCUUCUCCUGCAGUUUCUGCUGGACAUCAGGGGUCUGCAAGGACCUUUGCCUGUGGGGUGGCCCCACAGCUUCCCAGAAGGGGAACCACCUCUUCCCGUGUGGCACGAGGAUCACUUGGACCUUGCUCUCUCCUCCUUGGAUUCACCCUUCUCACCAGAUCACUGCCAGGACACAUUUGGACCUGAUCCAGAGUGGUACCUAGGAAAUGUUUGUGGAUCUAAACAAAGGCCAGGACAAGAACCUUCCUGCUGACCUUCUAGGCAUAUUUGAAGUUCAGAUGAACCUCUGGAUAGCAGGUGUUGGGAAAUCCCCAAAUGACAACACAAUGAGAGGUACUGGUGGAGUCCAUGUGCUGUUUCCAAUAUGUGUUUCUGAAACAGCCACAAGAUAUUUUACUGAAGGCCUACUGGGUGCUCAGCAGUGUGUAGGCCCUGAGAAUACAGCAGUGGGGCCAACGUUAUCCUCAAAGCCAUCCCUGCCCUUUGUGGGCCUGUGGGCUCCAUCUCAUCAGUGGGACUAAUGAGCUUGUCUGGAAGCAGCACAGCAUAGUGAAUGAGGCCACAGGUCGGAGGUCUCCACAUUCUCUACUCUCUCACCUUGAGGAAGUCAUUAACCUCCCUGUUCCUCAGUUUCCUCUUAGAGCUAUUAGAAGGAUUAAUGAGAAAUCUGUAAAAUUAAAGCCUUGGACACCAACAGUGACACUCUUUCCAGCUCCCUGAUUCUUCCAUUUCAUCUUUGUUAAUCAAUCAGCUGUGUUAUGGUUCCAAAUGCAGACAUGAGAGACAGUGCUUUUUAAAAUGUAUAGUGCUCCAAGAAAAUGUGACUUUUCAACUUUUCACAGAUGACAUCAUCAUUCCCAUGAGACCCUUCCUGGGAUGAGAAUGGGGAGGGAAAUUUUCUUGUUACCAUAAAACAACUUCUUGGUCUUACUUGGGUAAUGUGCUUUCCUGACGUCAGUCUUCAUCAUACCCUUCAUAGCCCGUUGCUCCUCCCAGAAUGAGCUCAGAAUGUUUGGCAGUGUGACUUCUGAACUAGAAAAGUGGGCCUCAGACCCCCUCUCUGCCAUGGGCCUUACGGGUGACACCUGCUCCCUGCCCUGGUUCUACAGAGGGUCCUUGAUGGUCUGUGGUAGUGUCCAUGCUUUUAUCAGGACUGGGAGUUGCCCCUGAUGACCUGGGUCCUUCUCACUGGCACCCAAGAUCCAGUUCCACCCUCCACCCAGUGUUGAUGAGUGCAGGUCCCCUAGCCCUCCUGUGACAGGUAUGUGCAGGUCCACGGAGUCUCUCCAUAGAUCCUGGUACAGGCUGAAUUGUGUUCCCUCCAAAUCUUCAUGCUGAUGUCCUAACUGCCAGCAAUUCAAAACAUGACCACAGUUGGAGAUGUUGCUUUUAAGAAGGAAAAGAAUGUUAGAUGAAGUCACUAGCAUGGGCCCUAAUCCAACAUGACUGGUGCCCUUCUAAGAAGAGGAGAUCAGGACACAGACAUGCACAGAGGGAAGACUAUGUGAAUACACAAGAAGAAGUUGAUUAUCUACAAGCCAUGGAGGGAGGCCUCUGAGGGAACCAACCUUUCUGACUUCUUGAUUUUGGACUUCUGGCCUCCAGAAUUGUGAGAGAAUAAAUUAUUGUUGUUGAA
This is a long non-coding RNA of Felis catus (domestic cat), 2601 nucleotides long. RefSeq lists it as uncharacterized. The transcript has 6 exons. NCBI's taxonomy places the organism in Eukaryota, Metazoa, Chordata, Mammalia, Carnivora, Felidae. The record is from RefSeq and is a predicted model, not a curated record.